UUCCAGCUCCAAUAGCGUAUACUAAAGCUGCUGCGGUUAAAAAGCUCGUAGUUGGAUCUCAGUUCCAGACGAGUAGUGCAUCUACCCGAUGCGACGGCUCGGACUGAACAUCAUGCCGGUCUUCUUGGUGCACUUCAUUGUGUGCCUCGAGAUGGCCGGUGCUUUUACUUUGAAAAAAUUAGAGUGCUCAACGCAGGCGAGUCGCCUGAAUAUUCCUUGCAUGGAAUAAUAGAACAAGACCUCGUUUCUGUUCUGUUGGUUUUUGG
This 266-nucleotide ribosomal RNA is filed under the name Haemaphysalis longicornis (longhorned tick). RNAcentral's name for it is "partial 18S ribosomal RNA". It matches the Rfam family "Eukaryotic small subunit ribosomal RNA", at positions 583 to 854 of the family's 1831-position model. Lineage: Eukaryota; Metazoa; Arthropoda; Arachnida; Ixodida; Ixodidae. The record is from RNAcentral.